AUAAUUCUGAUUGAUUUUCUUAUAGCUUAUAACUUGUGUGAUGCUUAUCCUUUAUGCUUUUCAACUGUCACAUACUUGCAUUCCCUACAUACGGAUUCUAGGCUUCCUUUAUGGUACUUUGUUAUGUGUUGGACUCGAGAAAUAAACACAUUGAAUUCUGAACUAAGAUAGAAAUAAUUUGGUUUUAGGGCUAGACUUGAAUAUAGACAGUGUUUCAUCCUAACAAGGAGUUUCCUCCUUCAAAACACUAGGAACAACAAUCUGAUACCUUAAUUUCUUUUACAAGUCUUUGACUAAAUAUGCCACAAACUGUUGCAUCAUAACCUAUAACUGCCUAAUCCAAAAUUAAUAUAAAUUAUCAAAGUAACUUCCUAAUACAAAUUAUAACUGCCUAAAUCAGAUUUUGUCCUAUCAAUGCCCCUGGCACACCAACUGCCUUGUCCUCAAGGCUAGAAUAAGGAAACUAUCCCUUGCAGAUCAGCAUUUGAAUUUUGAAUUUGGUUUCAUCUAUUUCAACCCCUUUGAAUUCUCCUUCUCCCCUAUCAUGUCUCCCCCCAAAAUAAGCACUCUUAAUUUCCUUUUAGGACACCUUUGAAGUAGCCCAAAUGGUUGGUCAAUGACCACUUCCCUCAAUGCCCCUGGCACACAAACUGCCUUGUCCUCAAGGCUAGAAUAAGGAAACUAUCCCUUGCAAAUCAGCAUUUGAAUUUUGAAUUUGGUUUCAUCUAUUCAACCCCUUUGAAUUCUCCUUCUCCCCUAUCAUGUCUCCCCCCAAAAUAAGCACUCUUAAUUUCCUUUUAGGACACCUUUGAAGUAGCCCAAAUGGUUGGUCAAUGACCACUUCCCUCCUUUGAACAUACUCUUGAUAAGGUAAAAGCCUACUGCCAUGAUUUCUAAACAACAUUUUUUGUGAAUUAUUAGCAACAGAGCUUGUACCUGUUCCCACUGGAUUUCUCCCUACUUUCACACUUAGUGAAGAAAUAGAAUAUUGUUGUUACUUGAAUUCAAUUAGUGAUACCUAAAAACAAUGAGCGUCAGAUUAAUUGUUGGAGUCAAUAUUACUUGGAUUUCUCCCGACUUUCACACUUAGUGAAGAAAUAGAAUAUUGUUGUUACUUGAAUUCAGUUAGUGAUACCUAAAAACUGUGAGCGGUAAGAUUAAUUGUUGGAGUCAAGAAAUAAACACACUGAAUUUUGAAUAAAAAUAGAAAUAAUUUGGUUUUCAGGUCAGGUUUGAGGACAGACACAUGGUUUCCCCCUAAUAAAGAGUUUCCAACUUCAAAACCCAAAGUCUUAAUUCCCUUUACGUGUCUGUAACACUGACACAACUUAUAUAUUAGCUAUCACAUCAUAGCCUUCAAUUUCCUAAUACAAAAUAAAUAAUAUAUAAAUAACUGCCUAAUGUUGUGUUUGGUUGAGAGGAUGGAAAUAGAAGAGAGAUAUUUAAAUUAAGGCUAAAUUGUGAUUUUGGUCCCCUUAGUUUCUCAAAUCCAUGAUUUUGGUCUCCCUGAAUUUUAAUUGUAACAUUUGGUCCCCCUAGUCUUAUAAAUUGAUGAUUUUGGUCCUCCUGAUAGAUUAUUAACAAAUAAUUAUGAUUAAUUAAGUUAUUAAGUUAAUUAUAAAUUAAUCAAAACAAUUAAUUAUUAAAAAAAUUGAAUAAAAAAUUAUUAAUCCUAAUUUUUCACAACACUGUGCUCCUCCUCUUCCCUGCAAAAACCUCUUUUACCUCCACUGUUGCAUAUGAUUUCACCAGCAGUAACACCACAAGGGUUAGUCUUGUAUUAAAAAAUUUAAUGAUUAAUAAUUUUUAUUUAAUUUAUAAUUAAUUUAAUAUCUCUAAUAAUCACAAUUAUUAGUUAAUAAUCUAUCAGGAGGACCAAAAUCACAAAUUUAUAAAACUAGGGAUCAAAUGUUACAAUUAAAAAUCAUAGGGAUCAAAAUCAUGGAUUUGGAAAACUAGGGGAUCAAAAUUGCAAUUCAGCCUUAUUAAAGUAGAAUGUAAGAGGUGUGAGACCCACACAAUUUUUUCUCUAUUUCUUUCCCCCUCCCCUCAACCAAACACGACAUAAAUGAGAUUUUGGCCUAUUAACUUCCUAGUACCAAAUUAUUGGAGUGUAUAGACACUACAACAAAACCUUAUCCCACUAGGUGAGAUUAACUACAUGGAUUGCACGAUGCCAUUUGACUAAAUAGACACUAGUUAUCUGAAAAUAAGGAAGUCAAGGUUAACAUAACAUUGAUUGUAGAAAUAUUGAUAGGUUCAGGGAAAUUAUUUCCCAUUAUCUUCAGAUAGAGAAUACAUUUCAGUAUCUCAGACCAGUGAAUGAAUAGACAGUUGUGAAUUUUGCAGGAAGAAAUGGAUGUUAUUCUUCUGCUAUCCCAUGUUUGCAUACCCACUUUUUCUUCAAUUAAUACUUUUAUGGUUACUGAGACCUACGUAAUUUGACAUUGACAUAAUCGCAUGGUGCUUCGUUGUUUUGUAUUUGUAGUUUGCUGUCUGGAUACCUUACUGUCAUCAGUCAUCUCUAUAUGUGGUUAAACCUCAAUUGGUCCUAAUUCUUUUAAGUUUAGGAAAGUAUGAAACCCUGC
This 2588-nucleotide long non-coding RNA is filed under the name Glycine max (soybean). RNAcentral describes it as "long non-coding RNA (GMAX_LNC002249)". Lineage: Eukaryota; Viridiplantae; Streptophyta; Magnoliopsida; Fabales; Fabaceae. The record is from RNAcentral.